This 253-nucleotide ribosomal RNA is filed under the name uncultured bacterium. RNAcentral's name for it is "partial 16S ribosomal RNA". It matches the Rfam family "Bacterial small subunit ribosomal RNA", at positions 524 to 776 of the family's 1533-position model. The record is from RNAcentral.
GACGAGGGAUCCUAGCGUUGUUCGGAAUCACUGGGCGUAAAGCGUUUGUAGGCGGCUCUAUAAGUCGAGUGUGAAAGCCCCCGGCUCAACUGGGGAGGGUCACUCGAUACUGAUCGACUCGAAGGCAGGAGAGGGAAGUGGAAUUCCCGGUGUAGUGGUGAAAUGCGCAGAUAUCAGGAAGAACACCAAUGGCGAAAGCAGCUCUCUGGGACGGUACUGACGCUGAGACGCGAAAGCGUGGGGAGCGAACAGG